Molecule: ribosomal RNA, 512 nt
Filed under: uncultured bacterium
Lineage: Bacteria
Description: bacterial SSU rRNA
Rfam family: Bacterial small subunit ribosomal RNA
Source: RNAcentral
AGAGUUUGAUCAUGGCUCAGGAUGAACGCUGGCGGCGUGCUUAACACAUGCAAGUCGAGCGAAGCGAUUCAAAUGAAGUUUCGGAUGGAUUUGAAUUGACUUAGCGGCGGACGGGUGAGUAACGCGUGGGUAACCUGCCUCAUACAGGGGGAUAACAGUUGGAAACGGCUGCUAAUACCGCAUAAGCACACAGUGCCGCAUGGUACGGUGUGAAAAACUCCGGUGGUAUGAGAUGGACCCGCGUCUGAUUAGGUAGUUGGUGAGGUAACGGCCCACCCAAGCCGACGAUCAGUAGCCGACCUGAGAGGGUGACCGGCCACAUUGGGACUGAGACACGGCCCAAACUCCUACGGGAGGCAGCAGUGGGGAAUAUUGGACAAUGGGGGAAACCCUGAUUACCCAGCGACGCCGCGUGAGUGAAGAAGUAUUUCGGUAUGUAAAGCUCUAUCAGCAGGGAAGAAAAUGACGGUACCUGACUAAGAAGCCCCGGCUAACUACGUGCCAGCCGCCGC